GACGAACGCUGGCGGCGUGCUUAACACAUGCAAGUCGAACGCUGAAGCUCAGCUUUUGUUGGGUGGAUGAGUGGCGAACGGGUGAGUAACACGUGAGUAACCCGCCCCCUUCUUUGGGAUAACGCUCGGAAACGGGUGCUAAUACUGGAUAUUCACUGGUCUUCGCCUGGGGGCUGGUGGAAAGGGCUUUUCUGGUGGGGGAUGGGGUUGCGGCCUAUCGGCUUGUUGGUGGGGUGAUGGUCUACCGAGGCUUUGACGGGUAGCCGGCGUGAGAGGGUGACCGGGCACAGUGGGACGGGGAUGCGGCCCAGGGGAGUACGGGGGGGAGCAGUGGGGAAUAUUGGACAAUGGGCGAAAGCGUGAUGCAGCGACGGCGCUUGAGGGAUGGGGGCCGUCGGGUUGUGAACCUCGUGCGCUCAUGGUGAAGCCGCAACAAUGGUUGUGGUGAGGGUAGUGGGUAAAGAAGCGCCGGCUAACUACGUG
RNAcentral lists this ribosomal RNA (483 nucleotides) under uncultured bacterium. Its description in RNAcentral is "partial 16S ribosomal RNA". It matches the Rfam family "Bacterial small subunit ribosomal RNA", at positions 28 to 507 of the family's 1533-position model. The record is from RNAcentral.